Eurytemora carolleeae is the source of this 366-nucleotide long non-coding RNA. RefSeq lists it as uncharacterized. The record is from RefSeq and is a predicted model, not a curated record. The transcript is spliced from 3 exons. Lineage: Eukaryota; Metazoa; Arthropoda; Copepoda; Calanoida; Temoridae.
CAAAAUGUUUGAGGAAUAAUUGAUCCCAUCCCUCUUUCUUGAACUGGCAAUAAGAAUAUGCCCUGGAGAUGGUAAAAUAAACCGAAAAGGCAAAAAGAGUUUUGUUUCACGGAUCUGAAUAUAGAUAUAUACAUACAGUAGAGGGGUUCCUGGUUUAACUUCCUUGAUUGCCACUAUUCAGGUUUUGCAGUAAAAGGUUCCUAAAGGCCCUGUAGAAGACCGAAUACUAGUAAUCCAACUUGAUUACUUUCAUUAUAGAGGAAUGUAAUCUAUUAUUGGUUUCCUUUACUCUGUCAACAAAUCAGUCUUUUCUUGCUCAAAUCUCAGUUAUUGGAUCCAAUUUAUCCAUAUAAAACAAUUUUAUAU